CGUGGCGCGGCGCGGCGGAGGAUCCGAGGCGUCCGGAAGCAGAAACUUGUCUGGCAGGACGAACGUGGCUCCGCGACAUUCCAGCCCUGUGUCAUCACCUUGAAAAUAGGAGAUGCGUCUGCCUUUCUGAGCGUCCAGGGCUGGGUUGGCCAGAAGUUUUCAUCACACACCGGAGCUUUGUCUCCAAGUGAGUACAUGUGCCCUCCAACAGAAGUAAACACACACGGAAGGACAAGUCUGCAAAGCUUCUAAACAGCUAGGCAUGCGGCCGUGUCUGAAGAGUCCGAGAUGUAGCUGAAACUACCUAGGUUGGUGGCUGACGUCUGAAGUUGGGGCAGUUUGUGCAUCUGGACCCUCAGUCUGUGACAUCUGGGAUCUCCAGGUCAGAUUUUAAGAGUCUAUGAAAUGACGGAUUUAACUCCGACUCGAAAUGAUUAAGAAGCGUGGAAGAAGAAAGAGGAGGAUUAAAUAACAUAUUUCUAUCUCAGGAGUGAAUAAAAGCGGGAAAACAAACACAGUUCAAACUCCAGCCUGAGAGACGAAGGUUUUCUGAUGGAGCAAGCCCUCCAAGCUUCCCGUGCUUGGACCGGUAAGCGCACCAGCACUCAGCCCAACUCCAUCCAUCCGUCAGGGGCUCACGAUGCACUUCUGAGCCAUUUACUGCAUCCAUUUGGUUUUUGAGCAAUACUUUGGAUUUGAAUUCAUCUAAAUUGCUGUCGUGACCCCUCCUCUCCAGGGUGUUACUUUAAUAUCCUGAUUCUUCAAAAUUGUCCAGAAUUUUUCUCCUUGGGUACACGGUUUAAUCCUGCCAGGAACUUAAAGACCAGAGUUGGAAAAGACUGAAAGUAAAGGAAACCCGUCCAACUCCUAAACGCUAGACACCCCAAAACCACAGCCCAGAAGCCGGGAUAUCUGCAUCUCCCUAAACAACCCUGGAUUUGAGAUCAAGGAUCCAGGGAUCAGGGAUGGAAGGGUGCCAGUUACUCAGAUACUUCUGUAUCUAAAGUCUCUGCGUAAAUUUUGGUGAUUUCUGUCCCUAUGUAAACCAAAACCAAAUCAUCAAAGAGGGGAACAGUUUUAAAAAAACACCAAAAAACAAAAAAAAACCUCGCUGCUGUCCUAUAAUAUGAGCUAUACGUAUUUUCAUGAAGCUCAUACUGUUCCCAGAGAAUUGAGUGAACUUAUAAAUGAUAACCAUCGCUGGGGGACCCAGGAAUGAAAAGAAAAGCGAAGGAAAAAGAACAGCGAAGGAAAGCGGGAGGCGGAAAGAUGGAAGAGGACGAUCUUCGGCCUACAAGGGGAUUAAGGACAUCUAUAGGCUUAAGGAGCAACAAAUUAAUUUAUACAAUUCUAGGAGAGCCCAGAUGGCCUUUAAUUAAUCCCUUCAAAAGCAGGAGCCAGGCCAGGGCUAGGCGGCUGCCUGCUCCAUUAGCUCCAUUUUACAAGGGACCAGGCUCGGUUCGAGGUGAGGCUUCCAGAGCUGGUGGGGGAAGGGGGUAGGAUGACGCGAGCGGGCG
Molecule: long non-coding RNA, 1517 nt
Organism: Tupaia belangeri chinensis (Chinese tree shrew)
Lineage: Eukaryota; Metazoa; Chordata; Mammalia; Scandentia; Tupaiidae
Exons: 3
Source: RefSeq, a predicted model, not a curated record